CAACCCUCAAGCCCCCUGUGGACUUGGUGUUGGGGACCGGCGGCCGCGUCUUCUCGCAGCCGCCGCCCCCUAAAUGAAUUGGCGGCCCCGUCGCGGCCCUCCUCUGCGUAGUAGCACACACCUCGCAACAGGAGCCCGACGAAGGCCACUGCCGUAAAACCCCCCAACUUUUUUAG
Molecule: unclassified non-coding RNA, 176 nt
Filed under: uncultured Clavicipitaceae
Lineage: Eukaryota; Fungi; Ascomycota; Sordariomycetes; Hypocreales; Clavicipitaceae
Description: sequence contains ITS2
Source: RNAcentral